RNAcentral lists this ribosomal RNA (138 nucleotides) under uncultured bacterium. RNAcentral describes it as "partial 16S ribosomal RNA". It matches the Rfam family "Bacterial small subunit ribosomal RNA", at positions 389 to 523 of the family's 1533-position model. The record is from RNAcentral.
CAGCCAUGCCGCGUGCAGGACGACUGCCCUAUGGGUUGUAAACUGCUUUUGUUAGGGAAUAAAACCCCGCUACGUGUAGCGGGCUGAAUGUACCUAAAGAAUAAGGAUCGGCUAACUCCGUGCCAGCAGCCGCGGUAA